GUCGAGGGAGGUGUUGCCGCAGAGGAGGAGCUGGUCGCUGGGCGGUAUGACACAGAGGUGGUGGAUGGAGUGCUGGAUGGCCUCGACAAGCGUGUCGCCGCCGCACUGGAACUCCAAGGUGUGGCCGUUCUCCGCCACGUGCACCAUCAACUUCUGCCCCAGCGGCACCGCCGCCGCCUCCUCCGCACCACCGCCUGUCACCGCCGACCCGGAACUCAUCUUCCUCGCGAUUCGACUACAGCCCACAAUUCCACUCCAAAACCGAAUCUUCUUCUUCUUUUUCUUCACACAGUACAGAUUAAUCUACAGUUCUACCGUACCACCAAACACGAAACACCGAACUCUUUAACCUCUCCGACGGGAUAGCCUCCGCCCGUCGAAAAAGAGCACGAGCCAACGUCCGCCGAGGCCUUAUCUCCCC
This 421-nucleotide unclassified non-coding RNA is filed under the name Zea mays. RNAcentral describes it as "misc RNA Zm00001eb233950". The record is from RNAcentral. Lineage: Eukaryota; Viridiplantae; Streptophyta; Magnoliopsida; Poales; Poaceae.